AAGAGGAAGACAAUAGAGUUUGGAUGAGCUGCUGCCCAGAGCCCUUUGUUUCUGUCCUCAGGUAAAAAUAUUUCCUGGACCUGAUUCUCGUUGGAUGGAAGUCUUGUGGACCCUAUAGAGAUUUGGCCAUAGGAGUAACACUUAACCAUCUGCUGUGGUGGAAAGAACACUCACUGUAGGGUCACUCUAGCCUGGAUUCUAAUCUCAGUUCUUUAUUUAUCAGGUGAG
This 228-nucleotide long non-coding RNA is filed under the name Homo sapiens (human). Its description in RNAcentral is "HSALNT0144410". Lineage: Eukaryota; Metazoa; Chordata; Mammalia; Primates; Hominidae. The record is from RNAcentral.